Molecule: non-coding RNA, 30 nt
Filed under: Rattus norvegicus (Norway rat)
Lineage: Eukaryota; Metazoa; Chordata; Mammalia; Rodentia; Muridae
Source: RNAcentral
UUGGUUUGCUCUCAUGAGACCAGUGUUGCC